UGAGAAGCAUCUGUAACAGGGAUGAAAUAGUCGGCUAGGCGUCUCGGUAAUCAAAGAACAGUAGCGCGCUAAAUUUAGAGACUCCAAGGGAGAAAUUGAUCGACCUCAACGCAAUUGAGUCAGUUAACACCGCUUGCAACCACGUUCUUCGCAGUUACGGAAAAUUGUUUCUUUGUUGUCCUCUACGCCAACCACACGCUAUGAUGGAUACUGAACUCAAGGGUUUAAUGACUAAACGUGACGUGGUAAAGGCAUCGUUAACUCGUUUCGAGAGAUUCUUUAGUGAGUCGGCACAGUCAAUAGAAGCCGUAUAAUUGGACGUCGCGUCGUCUGCUUCGUCCAGCAAUGUAUUUAUCCAGAAGUUUUAAUUGUAUGCAGUUUUAAUUACGCCUCGAUGAAUGAAAUCGUUCCAUCGCUAUCUUCCACGAAUCGGCUAACAAGGGGCAUUACUCGAAUAUAACGCAUCGAUUUUGAUGAAAUUUUAUAGAUGCAUAAUAUGGCUAAUAAUCCAC
Molecule: unclassified non-coding RNA, 512 nt
Filed under: Bombus terrestris (buff-tailed bumblebee)
Lineage: Eukaryota; Metazoa; Arthropoda; Insecta; Hymenoptera; Apidae
Description: misc RNA ENSBTSG00005027743.1
Source: RNAcentral